This 292-nucleotide ribosomal RNA is filed under the name uncultured bacterium. RNAcentral describes it as "partial 16S ribosomal RNA". It matches the Rfam family "Bacterial small subunit ribosomal RNA", at positions 505 to 796 of the family's 1533-position model. The record is from RNAcentral.
GUGUCAGCCGCCGCGGUAAUACGAAGGUGGCAAGCGUUACUCGGAAUUACUAGGCGUAAAGGGCAGGUAGGUGGUCUGAUAAGUCUGUUGUGUAAGCUCCCGGCUUAACUGGGAGAGGUCAACAGAUACUGUCAGGCUUGAGUAUGGGAGAGGGUACUGGAAUUCCCGGUGUAGCGGUGAAAUGCGCAGAUAUCGGGAGGAACACCAAUGGCGAAAGCAGGUGCCUGGACCAUUACUGACACUCAGCUGCGAAAGCUAGGGGAGCAAACAGGAUUAGAUACCCUUGUAGUCC